This 74-nucleotide transfer RNA is filed under the name Phycisphaerales bacterium. RNAcentral's name for it is "tRNA-Arg". It matches the Rfam family "tRNA". From Rfam's summary of the family: Transfer RNA (tRNA) molecules are approximately 80 nucleotides in length. Their secondary structure includes four short double-helical elements and three loops (D, anti-codon, and T loops). Further hydrogen bonds mediate the characteristic L-shaped molecular structure. tRNAs have two regions of fundamental functional importance: the anti-codon, which is responsible for specific mRNA codon recognition, and the 3' end, to which the tRNAs corresponding amino acid is attached (by aminoacyl-tRNA synthetases). tRNAs cope with the degeneracy of the genetic code in two manners: having more than one tRNA (with a specific anti-codon) for a particular amino acid; and 'wobble' base-pairing, i.e. permitting non-standard base-pairing at the 3rd anti-codon position. The record is from RNAcentral. Lineage: Bacteria; Pseudomonadati; Planctomycetota; Phycisphaerae; Phycisphaerales.
GCACCCGUAGCUCAGCAGGAUAGAGCACCGGUUUCCUAAACCGGCGGUCGGUGGUUCGAAUCCACCCGGGUGCG